This 253-nucleotide ribosomal RNA is filed under the name uncultured bacterium. Its description in RNAcentral is "partial 16S ribosomal RNA". It matches the Rfam family "Bacterial small subunit ribosomal RNA", at positions 524 to 776 of the family's 1533-position model. The record is from RNAcentral.
UACGGGGGGGGCAAGCGUUGUUCGGAAUUACUGGGCGUAAAGGGCUCGUAGGCGGCCAACUAAGUCGGACGUGAAAUCCCCAGGCUCAACCUGGGAACUGCGUCCGAUACUGGAUGGCUUGAAUCCGGGAGAGGGAUGCAGAAUUCCAGGUGUAGCGGUGAAAUGCGUAGAUAUCAGGAGGAACACCAACGGCGAAGGCAGCACUCUGGGCCGGUACUGACGCUGAGGAGCGAAAGCGUGGGGAGCAAACAGG